RNAcentral lists this ribosomal RNA (494 nucleotides) under uncultured bacterium. Its description in RNAcentral is "partial 16S ribosomal RNA". It matches the Rfam family "Bacterial small subunit ribosomal RNA", at positions 28 to 507 of the family's 1533-position model. The record is from RNAcentral.
GACGAACGCUGGCGGCGUGCUUAACACAUGCAAGUCGAACGGAAAGGCCUACUUUCCCUUGUGGAUUGCGGGUACUCGAGUGGCGAACGGGUGAGUAACACGUGAGUGAUCUGCCCCCAACUUGGGUAUAAGCCUGGGAAACUGGGUCUAAUUCCCGAUAGGACUGCAGGGUGGUGCCUGUGGUGGAAAACGAUUUUCUAGUGGUUGGAGAUGAGCUCGCGGCCUAUCAGCUUGUUGGUGGGGUAAUGGCCUACCAAGGCGGCGACGGGUAGCCGGCCUGAGAGGGUGGACGGCCACAUUGGGACUGAGAUACGGCCCAGACUCCUACGGGAGGCAGCAGUGGGGAAUAUUGCACAAUGGGCGGAAGCCUGAUGCAGCGACGCCGCGUGGGGGAUGACGGCCUUCGGGUUGUAAACUCCUUUCGACCGCGAGGAAGCCACCUGGUUGGAAGGGUGGUGACGGUAGUGGUAGAAGAAGCACCGGCUAACUACGUG